AACGCUGGCGGCGUGCUUAACACAUGCAAGUCGAACGGUUCAAUACUUGACACUGAAUGUUUUAAAAGCAAAAAGGAAAGAGCAGAGACAGCUGAUGCGAAGAAAUAAGAGCAUUACGCGAUGACAAAAAAAGACUAAACAAGGAAAUUAAAAACAUUGAGUGUUGAGUAUUGGAUAGUGGCGGACGGGUGAGUAACGCGUGGGUAACCUACCUGUAAGCGGGGGAUAACAGUUGGAAACGACUGCUAAUACCGCAUAAGCUUCCUGAUUAAUUGGGAAGUAAAGAUGGCCUCUUAACAAAGCUGUCGCUUACAGAUGGGCCCGCGUCUGAUUAGCUAGUUGGUGGGGUAAAGGCCUACCAAGGCGACGAUCAGUAGCCGGCCUGAGAGGGUGGACGGCCACACUGGGACUGAGACACGGCCCAGACUCCUACGGGAGGCAGCAGUGGGGAAUAUUGCGCAAUGGGGGAAACCCUGACGCAGCGACGCCGCGUGAGCGAAGAAGGCCUUAGGG
RNAcentral lists this ribosomal RNA (513 nucleotides) under uncultured Syntrophomonas sp. RNAcentral describes it as "bacterial SSU rRNA". It matches the Rfam family "Bacterial small subunit ribosomal RNA", at positions 32 to 422 of the family's 1533-position model. The record is from RNAcentral. Lineage: Bacteria; Bacillati; Bacillota; Clostridia; Eubacteriales; Syntrophomonadaceae.